This 253-nucleotide ribosomal RNA is filed under the name uncultured bacterium. RNAcentral's name for it is "partial 16S ribosomal RNA". It matches the Rfam family "Bacterial small subunit ribosomal RNA", at positions 524 to 776 of the family's 1533-position model. The record is from RNAcentral.
UACGUAGGGCGCAAGCGUUAAUCGGAAUUACUGGGCGUAAAGCGUGCGCAGGCGGUUUUGUAAGUCUGACGUGAAAUCCCCGGGCUCAACCUGGGAAUUGCGUUGGAGACUGCAAGGCUAGAAUCUGGCAGAGGGGGGUAGAAUUCCACGUGUAGCAGUGAAAUGCGUAGAGAUGUGGAGGAACACCGAUGGCGAAGGCAGCCCCCUGGGUCAAGAUUGACGCUCAUGCACGAAAGCGUGGGGAGCAAACAGG